RNAcentral lists this ribosomal RNA (530 nucleotides) under uncultured bacterium. RNAcentral describes it as "bacterial SSU rRNA". It matches the Rfam family "Bacterial small subunit ribosomal RNA", at positions 355 to 895 of the family's 1533-position model. The record is from RNAcentral.
UGGGGAAUAUUGCACAAUGGGCGAAAGCCUGAUGCAGCGACGCCGCGUAAGGGAUGACGGCCUUCGGGUUGUAAACCUCUUUCGACAGGGACGAAGCGUAAGUGACGGUACCUGUAGAAGAAGCACCGGCCAACUACGUGCCAGCAGCCGCGGUAAUACGUAGGGUGCGAGCGUUGUCCGGAAUUACUGGGCGUAAAGAGCUUGUAGGCGGUUUGUCGCGUCGUCUGUGAAAACUCACAGCUCAACUGUGAGCUUGCAGGCGAUACGGGCAGACUUGAGUACUGCAGGGGAGACUGGAAUUCCUGGUGUAGCGGUGAAAUGCGCAGAUAUCAGGAGGAACACCGGUGGCGAAGGCGGGUCUCUGGGCAGUAACUGACGCUGAGAAGCGAAAGCGUGGGUAGCGAACAGGAUUAGAUACCCUGGUAGUCCACGCCGUAAACGGUGGGUACUAGGUGUGGGUUUCCUUCCACGGGAUCCGUGCCGUAGCUAACGCAUUAAGUACCCCGCCUGGGGAGUACGGCCGCAAGGCU